This 753-nucleotide ribosomal RNA is filed under the name uncultured bacterium. Its description in RNAcentral is "bacterial SSU rRNA". It matches the Rfam family "Bacterial small subunit ribosomal RNA", at positions 8 to 815 of the family's 1533-position model. The record is from RNAcentral.
AGAGUUUGAUCCUGGCUCAGAACGAACGCUGGCGGCAUGCCUAACACAUGCAAGUCGAACGAGAUCUUCGGAUCUAGUGGCGCACGGGUGAGUAACGCGUGGGAAUCUGCCUUCAGGUGCGGGAUAACUCAGGGAAACUUGAGCUAAUACCGCAUAAUGACUUCGGUCCAAAGAUUUAUUGCCUGAAGAUGAGCCCGCGUAAGAUUAGCUAGUUGGUGAGGUAAAAGCUCACCAAGGCGACGAUCCUUAGCUGGUCUGAGAGGAUGAUCAGCCACACUGGGACUGAGACACGGCCCAGACUCCUACGGGAGGCAGCAGUGGGGAAUAUUGGACAAUGGGCGAAAGCCUGAUCCAGCAAUGCCGCGUGAGUGAUGAAGGCCUUAGGGUUGUAAAGCUCUUUUACCCGGGAAGAUAAUGACUGUACCGGGAGAAUAAGCUCCGGCUAACUCCGUGCCAGCAGCCGCGGUAAUACGGAGGGAGCUAGCGUUGUUCGGAAUUACUGGGCGUAAAGCGCACGUAAGCGGUGAUUCAAGUCAGAGGUGAAAGCCCGGAGCUCGACUCCGGAACUGCCUAUGAAACUAGAUAGCUAGAAUCUAGGAGAGGCGAGUGGACUGAUGAGUGUACAUGUGAAAUUCGUAGCAUAUUCUGAUGAACACCAUUUGCGAAAGCGACUCGCUGGACACUAUCGACCCUGAUGUGCGAUAGCGUGGGAGCAACAUGAUACAUACCUGCUAUCUCGUCGAAUGAGGCACU